RNAcentral lists this long non-coding RNA (5747 nucleotides) under Homo sapiens (human). RNAcentral's name for it is "non-protein coding lnc-HMBOX1-12:4". Lineage: Eukaryota; Metazoa; Chordata; Mammalia; Primates; Hominidae. The record is from RNAcentral.
AUUCAUAAAACCGAGGCCGAGAGGAAGAGGGAGGCGGCCUCCGACCCGCCGCCAGCGGCGGGCAGCGCCCGGACUUUGUGAAUGGAGCGCGCGGCGCCUUUCGCCGUCUACCCGCGGGCCCAGCCUGCGCCGCGCCUCCAGCCCGACACCGGCACCUGUGCCGCCGCUGCACCCCGCCGCUAGGCGGGCGGCGCCAAAGGAAAUAGCCGGCUGAGGAGGCCAGGGCUCGGGUUUGAGCUUUCAUCCCUUGGCACCUUCGCGCUUCCCCGCGUGACAGCCCCGUAGGUUUUUCCCGGUUACCCAAGUGGAGAGGGGACCGGAGCGCUGCUGCCCACCCAGCGGGGCCUGACACCUCCUAGCCCCAGACUCCCCGUGCGCUUUCGGCCCGGCCAGUCCUUUCUGAAUAUGCGAUUCCUGAGACGUUAGCGUAUGCAUUAGCGUGAUCGAUUUUCAUCUAAAGCCAUUAAAUCAGUUUUAUAGCUUCCCCAAGAACGUGGGCAACCCCCUGCUUGGAAGAUGAAAGAGAAAGUCCUCCCGCCCGAAGCCCAGGAUCGGAGUGAGGACAACAAAAUGUCUAAAUCACCUUUCCAAGGCUUCAACAAUGAAUGUAUUUUCCAAAUCAAUGUUGGAGUACAUGGUCAGAAAAGAUGUCUUUUGGACUUGUGAAAUUACUUAUAUAAAAAUUCUUACCAAGAUGGAAGCAUAAAAAACACAUUUAUUUAUAUGUUUACUAAAUCUUCUUUUAUUGAAAACAAUAAGACAACCUGAAAGCAAGUCUAUCAGAGAAAAUCUGGGACUUAUGUCUUCACUGACAAAAUAAUAAAUGAGACAAAGUGAUAGAAGACCUUUGUCAUGACACCUGUUUGCUACCAGAGCCCCAGGCCAUCGUCAUCCACUGAUGUCUCCACAUUAAUUCUGCAGAGGUCCUGGACAGUCUUCUCUGCCCUGUCUAAUGGUCAGUUAAUUCUCCUUGUAAGCACAUCAUGGCUGACCAGGUGCUGGACCGCGCAAAGAAAGGUGUCAGAGCUUUCAGCUUAAGCCUUGAUUGGGUGGUGAGUAGGUCUCCUGCAGCUAAUCAGUGGCUUUAGAAACCCUGGAGUCCUUCAGAAACCCUAAAGUUCUUCCUUCUGAUUUUUCUGGUAGACCAAAGGAAAAGGCCAACAACAAACAAUUUCUAAAUAAGAAAUUUCCACCUUAGCUAAAAGCAAAAGGCCUUUGAUACUCUAUAAGAUUGAUCAACUCACUUCAGUUGAAAUAAUGGUUUUCUGAAGUCAAGGCAUGAACAGCCUUUCCCCACUGGAUGGGAUGCUCAGAUUACCAGCCCUGGAAUGAAACAAAAGGAGAAGACUGUCUCACCCCACACUUCUCAACCAUUGGCCAUUCUGAGAUGACACCUGCAGAGCCACAGCCCCACCUGCCCGAGCACCCACGGGUGCCUUGGUCAUCCUGCACCAUGGAGCUGCUUGUCUCUCCUCUGUGUAAUCUAAUCUUCUAUGAGUCCAGUUUUUACAUGUUUAAAUUUCUUUUCCUUUUGUUUUUAGUUUACACAUAAUAAUUGUACAUAUUUAUGGAAUACAGACUGAUAUUUUCAUACAUGUAUCUACAUUGUGUAAUGAUCAAAUCAGGGUAAUUAGCAUAUCCAUCACCUCAAAUAUUGAUCACUUCUUUGUCUUGGGAACACUCAAAAUCGUCUCUCGUAGCUCUUUCAAAAUAUACAAUAAAUUCUUGUUAACUAUAUUCACCCUACGGUGCUAUAGAACACAAGAACUUAUUCAUCCUAUCUGGCUGUAAUUUUGUAUUCUUUAAGCAACCUUCCCCAUCUUCCUCUCCCUCAUCUAAUAACAUUCUCAGCCUCUAAUAACCACAACUCCACUCUCUACUUCCAUGAGCUCAACGUUUUUUUAGCUCCCACAUAUGAAUGAGGACAUGCAGUAUUUAUCUUUCUGUGCCUGACUUAUUUCAUUUAUGUAAUCUAAUUUUAAAACAAUUAUUUGGGCUCUCCGGAAUCAGUAAUACAAAAAGAAUACAGCAAAAUGUGCUGUUUUCUUUUGCAGAAAAGAAUUAUAGUCUCUCUCUACGUUUUCCAUUGGAAUUAGCAUAACAGUCCUCAAGGGUUUACCCACUGAGGGAGACACCAAGAGUCCCCUUUAAGCAGAGGGUAAUUACAUCCUGCUAUUCAGCCCAUUUACUGGAGGUUAACUCAUUAGCACCCCGCCAACUCCGUUUUUAAUCUAAUCUAUUUCUCUAUCUCCUCCCCUAGACUCACAAUGCUGUGUGUCCUCUCUGUUGCACCUAAAACUCUUCAUCAAGUAACCAGGCGAAGAGGUCUGUCUUCUCUUCCAGAAGCCCAAGAUCCCUUUUCCAAGGACUGUCUGGAUGCCCCUGCCUUGAAUCUGAGUUUUAUCUUCUGCAGACCUGGGCUUAAUUUGCUGCUCUGAAAAAGGACACAGGCUCUGUAGCCAGACAGAUGUGGGUUUUGAUGCCAGAGCCACCGUUUAAGUAGCUGGGGAACUUUGGGUACGUUUCUGGCCAUUGCUUUUCACAUCUUGUCACUGGGAAUGUUAUUAUUAUUUUAUCUAUUUUUUUUUUUGAGACGGAAUCUUGCUUUGUUGCCCAGGCUAGAGUGCAGUGGCUCUAUCUCAAUUCACUGCAAGCUCCGCCUCCCGGGUUCACUCCAUUCUCCUGCCUCAGCAUUCCAAGUAGCUGGGACUACAGGUGCGCACCACCACGCCCGGCUAACUUUUUGUAUUUUUAGUAGAGGCGGGUUUUCACAGUGUUAGCCAGGAUGAUCUCGAUCUCCUGACCUCCUGAUCCGCCCGCCUCGGCCUCCCAAAGUGCUGGGAUUACAGACGAGAGCCACCACGCCCAGCCAGGAAUGUUAUUAACACCUAGAUUCAUCAUUGGGAACAUUUUCAAAAAAUGUAUUAUUAUUCCUUAUUCCUUUCUCUUAGACAAUUUUUUCUUUUUAAGCUGAGAGGUGUCAAUAGGGCAACAUUUCUGAUUUAUACAUUGUUUUCUCCAUGGAGUUGCAUUUGGCAAAACUCCAGGUGCAUGGAAACACACAGGUGGGUCUUUGUGCCAUCAGGCUGGGCUGCUCAGUGGGCCCAGCUGUUAGUCCACGUGUUUGCCUGUGGGUCAACAGAACAGGAAAGGCUCCUGGAUUCUCUCUGUUGCUUUCCAUCCACCUGGACUGCUCCACCUCCUAUCCUCUCUGUCUCCUUGAUUCAACUCGAUGCUACCCUCAUUUAUCCAAGCAGAGAAAGGUGCUCCUUUCCUCUUUUAGUUUUCUCUCACCCUUCCUUCUUUUCACAUCUAUUUCUUACUGUUUCCUGCACAGUGCUUGUCUUUUCUCUGACAUUGUAUGAGCAAUUUCUUUGAUACAAUGGUAGUCUCCAAUUAUGCUACUGGGCAAGCCAGCCUAGAGGUUGUGGAACAGAAAGGCUCUCAGACCAACUUAAGUCACUCAUAUCGCAAGUUUUAUUGAAUCAGCUGAAAAUAUCCAGUACUUUCAAGGGGAAAGAUGUGAGAAAGGUUCACCCACUUAGCUUAAGGUGCAAGCAGGUGGCAGGACCACACGACCCGAUCCUCAGUGACUCAGUGUUCAUGUGACCGGUGUUCUCUUCUACAUUGACCUUCCAAGCUCAUGGGGUAGUUACUUUGGAACAAGGAGGCUCUGCAGAGAAAACUGCCUGAAGCCAAAAUGAUCUUGCUCUACCAGAGAGAUAAAGGGGCAAGUAUGCCUGGCCAAUAAAGAGCUUGCUAAACAGCCAUUGCUUUUCUCUGUGUUUCUAGACAAAGCUCAUGUGGGGAGAGAUGGGAUUAAUGUAGUUUCACCAAUGAUGGCUGAUUCAGCAAUAAUGUGCCUGUCAUAUAGAGGUGGCAUAAUACACACGUUGUAACUUGGCCUGUUCAUCUUUUUUCUGACUUUAAGUGUCAGAGGCAUGUGAACCAGAGCAACUCCAUCUUAACUCGGAGCUGGGUAAAAUGAGGCUGAGACCUACGGGGCUGCAUUCCCAGUUGGUUAAGGUAUCCUAAGUCCCAGGAUGAGACAGAAGGUCAGCAUAAAAUACAGGUCAUAAAGAUCUUGCUGAUGAAACAGGUUGCAAUACAGAAGCUGGCUAAAACCCACCAAAACCAAGAUGGCCAAGAGAGUGACCUCUGGUCUUCCUCACUGCUACAUUCCCACCAGCACCAUGACAGUUUACAAAUGCCAUGGCAACAUCAGGAAGUUAACCUUUAUGAUCUAAAAAGGGGAGGCAUGAAUAAUCCACCCCUUUUUUAGCAUAUGAUCAAGAAAUAACCAUAAAAAUGGGCAGCCAGCAGCCCUCGGGGCUGCUCUACCUAUGGAUCAGCCACGCUUGUAUUCCUUUACUUUCUUAAUAAAUUUGCUUUCACUUUGCUCUAUGGACUUGCCCUGAAUUCUUUCUUGUGCAAGAUCCAAGAACUCUCUCUUGGGGUCUGGAUUGGGACCCCUUUCCUGUAACGUAAGCAACAUUUUUAUUUGUUCUAUUCUUUUUUAAGAAUUGUGAUAUAACACACAGAACAUAAACUUUACUGUGUUGAUGAUGUUUGAGUAUAAUUCAGCGGCAUUAAGCGCAUUCACACUGUUGUGCAACCAUUACCACUGUCCAUUUUCAGAACUUUUGCAUCACCCCAGACUAAAAACUGUGUGCAUUAAACACUAACUCCCCACUCCCCUCCCCUUAGCCCCUAGUAAUCUCGAUUCUACUUUCUGUCUCUAUGAAUUUGCCUAUUCUGGAUACCUCAUAUAAGCAAAAUCAUACAGGAUUUGUCCUUUUGUGUCUGGCUUAUUUCAAUACUUGGCAUAAUGUUUUCAAGUUCACCCAUGUUGUAGCAUGUAUCAAAAUUUUAUUCCAUUUUAGGGUUGAGUAAUAUUCCAUCAUUUGUGUAUACCAUAUAUUUUUUAAUUCACUCAUUUGUUGAUGAACAUUUGAGUGGUUUCUUUCUUUUGGCUAUUGUGAGUGAUGCUGCUACAAACAUGGAUGUUCAGGUAUCUGUUUGAGUCUCUGCUUUCAUUUCUUUGAGAGUAUAUACCUAGAAGUGGAAUUGCUGGGUCCUAUGGUAAUUCUGCUUAAAUUUUUGAGAGACCACCGGUUUCAUCCUUUUUUAAAAUCAGUGUUCAAUAUUCACAUAUUCUGUUUAUUUCUAUGGCUAACAUUAGUUUUUCUUAUUUUUUUAUAGCAAAAUUAAGUAUUCCUAAAUAUUGCAGCCAAUUCACCUUACAACCCCUUCCCAUAUUAUCUACCCAGCAGGCACUGUAAGGUCUGUUCUUGGAUACUGACAAACAUUCUGCAAUCCUCAGUCCACAGCUGUACACCAAAUAUUUGGAACAGAGAUCAGUUAACUGAUUAAUUACUAUGACUUUGUGCUCGGGGAACAUGCCAAGCACCAAUCCCCCACCUUCCCCACCCUGCCUGUGUCUCUGUUCCCUUUGUGUUCCCUACAUUCUUUCAAAUACCUGCAAAUCCACCUUCUCUACCACGCAUCAAUGUUGCUGGCUUCCAUUUCUUAUUGAUUUUGUAUGACUUUGAGGUUUCCUGCCUGGGUACCCAGGACCAUGACUCUCUCUCUGGAGAUACCCAUCCUGACUGAUACACCCUAGCCACCUCCCUUUACGCUCCCUCUACUCCAUCCUCAGUCCAAGAGCUUCAGGCACUCCAGUCCUGCCCCAGAGACGCAGGUUUCAUCCUCUCGCAUGCUUUGCAGGAACUUCUUUAUUUUAUUGU